CUGGACCAGCAAUUCUACGAAGCUGAAGAAGGGGGGGAAAGAGAGAGAGAGAAAGAUAGGGAGGGAGAGCGAGAGAGAGAGAGACUGAAGAGGGAAGGAGCUGAGUUUUGGGUGUUGGGAGGUGAGACGAAGAAGUGUGGAGGUGAAUAAUCAACACUGCUAUUUAACAUAAAUGGAUCCUACAGCUGAUGACCAAUUAGAUUUUGAUGAUGAGGAAUAUGGAGGAGGUCAAAAGAUGCAGUAUCAUGGAGGUGGAACUAUCCCUGCACUUGCAGAGGAGGAAAUGAUGGGUGAAGAUGAUGAAUAUGAUGAUCUUUACAAUGAUGUUAAUGUUGGAGAGGGUUUUCUUCAGCUGCAGCGGUCUGAAGCACCAAAACCUCCUGAUACUGUGGUAAAUGGAGGAUCCCAAGCUCCCGAAAAUAAUAUGUCUGAACCAAGAGCGGGUGCUAUAACAUCACAAGAGAUGAACCCUGGUGUUGCCAGUUCUGGACUGCGAUUUCCUGAGCAAAAGAGUGGACUUACAGCUGAAAGGGGUCCCAAUCAAGCUGCUGAUGCCCCAGAAAAAGCAAGACCUCCUUCAAUGACUCGUGAUCCUCAAGUGGGAAACAUGGGAUUUCAAGGAUCAGUUCCAAUGUCUCAUAGGACUGGUUCUGAUCCAGCUGAUAUUUCAGGCAAUGCUGUCAAUGAGUCUAUGCCAUUGCAGAAUUCAGCUGCUGGUGGCUCAAGAGGUGCUCCAUUGAUGCCAGCUCAUCAAAUAAAUUCUAAUGCCAAUAUUAACAUGAACAGCUCUAUGAUGAAUGAAAACCAGAUGAGGCCAGCCAUAGAAAAUGGCAAUACAAUGCUCUUUGUGGGGGAGUUGCACUGGUGGACUACUGAUGCUGAUCUUGAGAGUGUGCUAAUUCAGUAUGGGAAAGUUAAGGAGAUUAAAUUUUUUGAUGAAAGAGCUAGUGGCAAAUCCAAAGGCUAUUGUCAAGUUGAAUUUUAUGAUCCUUCUGCUGCUACUGCUUGUAAAGAAGGAAUGAAUGGCCACCUUUUCAAUGGGCGAGCUUGUGUGGUUGCAUUUGCUAGUCCUCAGACAAUAAAGCAGAUGGGUGUUUCUUAUAUGAACAAAACCCAAAAUCAAGUUCAGGCUCAACCAAGGAGGCCCAUGAAUGAAGGACUGAACAGAGGUAGUGGGACAAGUUUCCCCAGUGGAGAUCAAGGGAGGAAUUUUGGUAGGGGUGGCUGGGGACGAGGGGGACAGGGAAUGCCAAACAGAGGUCCUGGUGGCGGGCCUGCAAGGGGAAGAGGUGCUAUGGGAGCAAAGAAUAUGGUAGGUAAUGUACCUGGAGCCAAUGCCAAUAUGAGUGGUGGAGCUUAUGGACAAGGGAUUGCAGGUCCAGGUUUUGGUGGUCCUCCAGGUCUUAUGCAUCCUCAGGGCAUGAUGGGUCCUGGAUUUGAUCCUGGUUAUAUGGGUCGAGGAGCUGGUUAUGGAGGCUUUUCAGGCCCUGGUUUCCCAGGGAUGCUUCCUCCGUUUCCUGCUGUCAAUCCAAUGGGGCUUGCUGGAGUGGCUCCUCAUGUCAAUCCCGCCUUCUUUGGCCGUGGGAUGGCUGCCAAUGGAAUGGGGAUGAUGGGGACAACAGGGAUGGAUGGUCCUCAUCCAGGAAUGUGGACUGAUACAAGCACUGGUGGUUGGGGAGGGGAAGAGCAUGAAAGAAGGACCAGGGAGUCAAGUUAUGGUGGUGAAGAUAAUGCAUCUGAAUAUGGGUAUGGAGAGGCCAGCCAUGACAAAGGAGCAAGGUCGACAGCUGCUUCCCGGGAGAAGGAGCGAGCUUCAGAACGUGAUUGGUCAGGUAACUCUGAGAAGAGGCAUCGGGAUGAUAGAGAGUAUGAAAGGGACAGGUACGAUAGGGAGCACAGGUACAGGGAUGAAAGAGAUGGUUAUAGGGACUACCGUCACAAAGAACGUGAGUUAGAUUAUGAAGAUGACUAUGAUAGGGGACAUUCUUCAAGAUCUCGAAGCAGAUCCAGAGCAGUGCAGGAAGAGGAUCAUCGAUCUCGUUCGAGGGAUACUGACUAUGGGAAGCGGAAAAGGUUGCCAUCAGAGUAACAUGGCUAAAUGCUCUGUUAUUCUUCACAUGGUCUUAAUUGGACUCCUACCACCCUAUUAUCCUUUCACUGCAUUCCUAUGCUGACUGCUUGAAGGCAUAUGAAUUCUUCCUGAAUUCAAUGAAGGAGCAGAGAGGCAACUCUUUGUUUUCAUGUCUAAAUCCGCAUAUGUUGGUUACAUGGAGGAAGAUGAGUUAACUUGGAUGAAUUCUCUGACAAUCCUAGUGUUUUGGCCCAUUGAAUGUGGCUGUAUUUUGUUUUCCUCAUGAAAUCUAUAUAUGGUUUACCCUUCAUUAAAGUUUGUAAAGAAGAUUACAAAUCAUGUCGCCAGUUAUGGCCAUAGGGAUGUGUCUACCACAUGUACUUUUACAAAUCCUAUUUUGAGCUGUUUUGGUAGAUUGUGUGUAGUAUUUUCCAAACAUGUAAGCGUUUCAUUUCAAUGCUUGUCCCUUUCUAUCAGCCUGUAAGCGUGUUGUACCAAGUUUGAGCCCCAUACUUGUCCACUAGAUGGCUUGUACACAAUUCCAAUUCAACUUUAGGGAUGGUCCGGUAGAACUGUUGUAUGCUUAACUUUGUGUUGUAAAAUUAAGCAAUUACUAUCAUACUGGAGGGUUACGUUACUCAUUUCUCCAUGGAGCAUAUGAAACUAUGAGCUUAAGCCUUAAGAUACUACAAAAUGUAUUCUCGGUGAGCCAUCUCAAGGCUUUAUUGGAUAUGGUGACUGCAUAUUGCAUAUGUAUUUAUGGAAUUGUUCUUACAACUAGGAUUGUAUACUUUGUGAAUUGUAAUUAUAGAUUCCAUGAUUAAAAUUUUGUAUCUUUUGUGUUGUAAUUGGUUUAUAUCCUGAUUGUAAAUUUGGCUUGUGUAGCCGGAUUAUAUCCCACUUGUAAAAUGUCCAUGUAAAAUCCAAUAGAGGGUUGAUGUCUGUAAA
Ipomoea triloba (trilobed morning glory) is the source of this 3019-nucleotide RNA transcript. It is a transcript of the gene named cleavage and polyadenylation specificity factor subunit 6, with no coding region annotated. Lineage: Eukaryota; Viridiplantae; Streptophyta; Magnoliopsida; Solanales; Convolvulaceae. The transcript has 3 exons. The record is from RefSeq and is a predicted model, not a curated record.